RNAcentral lists this long non-coding RNA (4839 nucleotides) under Triticum aestivum (bread wheat). RNAcentral describes it as "long non-coding RNA (TAES_LNC013658)". Lineage: Eukaryota; Viridiplantae; Streptophyta; Magnoliopsida; Poales; Poaceae. The record is from RNAcentral.
CACCAUCUCGAGCAGCCAUGAGGCUUAGCAGCAAGAUAUUAUUACUCGCCAUUGUACUUGCCAUGUUACCAUCAGGUAAGACUAAGCAUGAUAACAUCAGUUUGUCUGGUCAGGUAGUUUAUUUGGGAUGGUAGAACGAAUGAACAAUCAUGGCACCAUUUAAUUUUAUUCUUGUGUGCGGCGGUGUCUUGCAGAGAUUUGUACUUCUAGGGUCGUGCCUAUGGAGGAUGGCCACUUCACCACAGAUUACUCACCAUCAACAUGCUCACGGAUCAUUCGCUUUGGCACAUGUGUGUAACACCCCAAAAAUUUGACCCUGUUUUAUUAAUUAAAAUUUUGCCAGGAAAUCAAAUUUUUAUUUUUCUGGAUUUCUCUUUUGAUUUCAGAACCCCUCUUCUCUUUAAUAUUGUGGAGUUUUACCUCAAGUGGAACUUUCCAAAAAUAUUGUGGGACUUGUAUACUCUCCCAAUAAAACAAUUCUUCAUCAGUGGAUUAAAUUGCAUAAUUGUUUUUCCUGAGUUUUAUUCUUUUAAAAUGAUCUUUCAAAAAUUUGGAGCCUCUUUUGCACUGCAACCAUUUGAUUAAUGCAUCUAAAAUUUUCACCAAAAUUUGGGGAUGUCAUGUGAUGUUUCCACAUCACUUUUAUGCAAAAAUAUCUUUUGGUUAUUGGAGAUUUUGAGCUCUACAUCAAUUUUUCAAAUCUGGUCCAGUAGGUAUCUUUGCACUACAACCUAUUUAAAUAUUCUUCUAAAAAUUCUUCCAAGUGUUUGGAGAUGUCAGUAGAUGCUCACAAUUCAACUUCAUGCAAAAACCCAGUGAUGUUCUUUGAAAGAUUUGAGUGAAUCAUCCUCAUCUUCAUUCUGUUCCAGUUUGGUGAUUUGUACUGCAAUCCUAUCUUAUUUUGCUCUAGUGCCCAUGAGCUUUUUCCUACUGGUAGCCCUCCCUACCAAACCCUUAAGUCCAGGAGAGUGGACCCAUUGGAGGAUUUUUAGUGCAUGCAAUGAUAGCCUUUAGUUUCUGCCCAAAACUGGUUUUCUCAAAAACUUGCACUAACAAAUUUCUGUUUUUGCCAAACUUACCUUACCACCUCCUUUAGCUCCUAAAGAGACUAGGAUCUGGAGAUUUUGGCCACCCCAAGAGUUGCCUAGAUGCCCAUGGCAUUCUGUCGAACACCCUGUGUGCAGGAACAGUUUUGGCAUAUUUUCUAGUUUGCAUUGUGGACUUGAGCCCCUGACCCAUCCAGCAUGUCCUCUAACCUCCUAGCUAUCCCUAACCCAGGCCUGCUGAUCCCCAGCCUCAUCCAAGCUCUCUAGCAUGCCCUGGCAUUUCGUCGAGCACGUAGCGUGCGUGCGCUAGACGCGGCCAGAGCGCGCGUUUUGCACGUGCGUGCGCACAGGUCGCCGCGUCCCGCCUCCUGACCCUUGCUCGCCUGCAGAGCCACGCCCUGCCCUCGCCCACUCACCAGAACCCUCCAAGCCUCCCUGGCGCCCUAUAGCGCCGCCGUCAGGGCUCCCUUGGCGGCACGCCGGCGUCGGCAGCGGGCUCUGCCGUGGACGGCGCCGCCCAAGCCGCCUGCGGGCGCCAGCUGCCCCCUGGAACAGCCCGAGCCUAUCCUCAAGCCCGUCGACUAGUGCUCGUCGCCGCCACGUCGCCCUAGCCACUACAGAACGGCGACUCGUCGUCGUUCUUAUCCACCACCGCGGGAGCAGCCUCGUUGCGCUAUAAAAGGAGGCCCCGAGCUCCUCCGACCACUCAGGCAACCCCAGGCCACCCCCAUAGUACUCCCGCAGCCAGCAAUCGACGGGGAAGGGCCUUCUUCCUCGUCUCCGGCCAGUUCGGCCGCCGCCGAGCUCUGGUGCCAUGCGUUGCAACCAGACCCUCCCCCGUCCAUCCAACACCACCAUCCGUCUCCCCAUGGUCUUGCGGAGCUGCCCAGCGCCUCAGCCUCGACCAAGGACCACCAUAGCCCGAAGCCCCAUUUGCUCCCGAACCACCGUCCGCCGCGGAGCUCGCCGCCGGUGACUUCCUCCGUCCCCACCUGCCUAGCGCCCACCGGGAGGACCGCCCUAGACUGGCGGAUCCAUCCCUGCCCUCGGGGCCCCGUGGGAAGCUGCCGUUCAUCGACGGCGAUUGCCGGAGUCCCGCCACCGUUCGGGCAGAGGGAGAGGAGGGAGAAAAGGACUAGUCAAACCUGACCAGUGGGCCCCCUGGACCCACUGUCAGUGACCCACGCGCCACCCACGCUGGCUUUAAUGAAAGCGUAAAAGUCCCGAGUACGUCUCCUCUGCUUCGAAAGCGUAUUUUUCCCCGAAGCGUUUUCUUUUUCUGAUUUUAUUAAAAACAGAACUUUGACUAAACUUUGACUGGCUAUAUCUUUUAAAAUAAAACUCCAAAUGAGUUGAUUCUUUUUCCUACCUCUUUCAAAUUUCAUCUAGUUUAUUUUUAAGAUUUAUUUCAAAAAUAUUUGGGACAACUUUUUGUACUGUUUUUGAAAUAUGUGUCAUUUGAAUAUUUCUCAAAAUAGGAUUUUGGAGAAAAAGGCAACCUUCAAAAAGUGCACCCCCACAUGCAUACACCUGAAGGCAAGCAUUCUAAACUCUGGCAUAAUAUUCUUGUGUGUUGUUGAUACGGUUACAACACCACCUUGACUUGGAACAUACGUUAUUUUUUUGUGACGAUAAAAUCAUACGCAUGGUUGCAUAUUGGAGAUGCCUUGCUGUUAGAAAUGGAUAUGCUGGUGAUAGUGAUCAUCCUCGUAAGCUUCUCAUGCAUACCGGAAGGAAGCCGGGUAAGUCGCGGUCUUGGGUAGACACGAGCUUGUCCCUAGUUCCUCGUUGAGACGAGUAUGUCCGGUAUGGCAUGGUGAGGCUUGAUGAGUGGUGAGCUUACCUGUUACUGGAAAUAUUUUUUUGUUAUGCUAACCAUGCAGAGAAUACUUGAACCUCCUGAGUCGGCCGUAGAUCGAGUCUUGUUCCAGUAACCCCCAUACUUGCUUCGUACUACCACUUGUCCCUACCAUAGGUAGGGUACGGUUCAGUAAGUUGUCAACCCCUUUCUAGCACACACCGUACAGAGAGGCCGUGAUGAGGGUCCCAUGGCCAUGGAUUAAAGCCAGUCAUCCGGUCAGGGGGCAUGGGUGUUUCGGUUGUAGCCGAAGGGGUAGCUCCCCUAGUUUGCGCGCGGUAUAAAUUUUGUGAUCCCAUGCUACGUCGAGGUUGUAGCCUCCCCACUUAGAGUUUUGCUUGACAGGUGUCGUGGGUGAUUCCAGACACCGGUAAGUUAAGCUGGUGUGUGCAGGUCAGGCGUGUUUUCAAUUAAAAGACCGUGGACGGAAUUAGUCCCAAUGGACUAAAGAAAUCCGUUACCCGUGGGCAAAGAGUACACCCUCUGCAGAGAUUAUACAUCUAUUCGAAUAGCCGUGUCCACGGUUAAGGACUACAGUCUGGGAUGGGUCAAGUGUCGGUCUUCGGAGGAAAAACUGCUAAAUCAGAACAUUGAUUAUGAACUGUGACACAUGUGGAUUAUGAUUAUUAUUAUUGUGGACUAACCAUUUACUUUAUUUGAAGUAUUGAGUAUCCCUGGGACGGUUCUACCUCCUGGAUAUUCACUGUGAUUAUUCUUAUAUAAGCCCUCUAUGUGGUGUCGCUCAGACGCCCGACUGCGGCAUGCGUGUUAUUUAAUUUUUCUUUAUAAGCCCUUUAUGUGGUGUCGCUCAGACGCCCGACUGCGGCAUGCUUGUUAUUUAAUUAUCCUUUAUAAGCCCUUUAUGCGGUGUCGCUCAGACGCCCGACUGCGGCAUGCUUAUUAUUUAAUUAUCCUUUAGAAGCCCUUUAUGCGGUGUCGCUCAGACGCCUGACUGCGGCAUGCUUGUUAUUUAAUUAUUCUGUAUAAGCCCUUUAUGUGGUGUCGCUCAGACGCCCGACUGUGGCAUUGUUAAUUUAUUUGCACCCUUUCGAGGAGUCAAUUCAGACACUCGAUCGGUGCAUUCUAUUUCUAUAUUGCAUAUUCAUAUUUUACCCGCAUGCGUACAUCAUGGAUUUCGUAUAUUUCGUGACAGACGUUAUGAUCAUAGAAUAUUUCGGAGCAUGUUUUGAUAUAUUAUACCCGUGUUCUUGAUGUUUGCGAGUACAUUCAAACGUACUCACUGGCUUGUCCCUGGCUAUUGUCUUGGCCAGAUUUCUUGCGUGGAGAAGAGCGUUACGACGACAGCCCCGGAAUCUACGCAGUGUUGAUAGCAGCCUCGAGAAGAUAGGAGUUAUCCUGGUCAGCUGUUCUUGUGGGAAAUGGAGUCCCAUAGACGCAGAUGAACCACAAACCGCUUCCGCCAUCAACCGCUAGAAACCAGGUGUCGUACUCAUAGGCCACAAUGGUCUUGUACUACAUAUUUUGUACUUUGCUUGGAAUUUCUGUAUCAAGUUGGUGCCUCAUCAGCUAACAGUAAUCCUGGGGCUGGUGAGCACAAGGGCCAUUUUCUGGAAAAUUAGUAUCCCGAAAAUCCGGUCCUGACAAUGUGACAAUGAUGAGUGCCGUGACGACUGCAACAUGAAGCUCAACGGCAUUGGCAAGUGUGUUGAUAAGGGUUGCCAAUGCUCAUUUCACUGUGGCACUCCUUCUCCCAUCAAGACAACGUGCAAGUAGCUUAUGUUAAAUUAUAUAAAUGGACCUAGUAUGUAUCUAACAUCAUUUCUCAAUAAUUCUCAGUUGCUCAUUGUAGUGUAAUUUGAGCGUAUUACUCUUGUAUUCUUAAUUUUGGGAGAGGGGGACAUGAUACAAAGUUAUAAGGUGAAAAAUGUUAUGCUCUUGCUUUCUUUUGGAUUACAAAGAUGAACUGCACACACA